GUGAGCCUAGUGAUAGGAGACUAUCUAGCUUGGUUCGGAGAGCACUUGUUGGGUUUAAGAUUAGUAUUUUGCUAAAUGUUACGGCCUAAAUGCUGAACUAUUGACCCUAC
This is a non-coding RNA of Oryza nivara, 110 nucleotides long. The record is from Rfam. Lineage: Eukaryota; Viridiplantae; Streptophyta; Magnoliopsida; Poales; Poaceae.